GCACGGACGGGCUAUUAGCUCAGUGGUAGAGCGCGCCGUAGGUGCGAUGAUUUACUUCACGGGCGAGGUCUCUGGUUCAAGUCCAGGAUGGCCCAG
This 96-nucleotide transfer RNA is filed under the name Solanum lycopersicum (tomato). Its description in RNAcentral is "tRNA-Ile". It matches the Rfam family "tRNA". From Rfam's summary of the family: Transfer RNA (tRNA) molecules are approximately 80 nucleotides in length. Their secondary structure includes four short double-helical elements and three loops (D, anti-codon, and T loops). Lineage: Eukaryota; Viridiplantae; Streptophyta; Magnoliopsida; Solanales; Solanaceae. The record is from RNAcentral.